AUUAUACAUAGUUUCUUGUAAAGGAUUCUUCAGAGAAUACACGUUUUAUAAUACGCGUGCGAAGAAGAGAAGUGGCAAAAGUGACGACGAGGAUUUUUGUUACGACUUGUGACACACGAACUGAUGAUUAUCAAAGCGAAGUUUAUAUCAAAGUUGGAUCGGCUAAUGUUACAGGAAGCUGUAAU
This 185-nucleotide long non-coding RNA is filed under the name Apis florea (little honeybee). RNAcentral's name for it is "uncharacterized LOC116415609, transcript variant X2". Lineage: Eukaryota; Metazoa; Arthropoda; Insecta; Hymenoptera; Apidae. The record is from RNAcentral.